RNAcentral lists this ribosomal RNA (501 nucleotides) under uncultured bacterium. Its description in RNAcentral is "partial 16S ribosomal RNA". It matches the Rfam family "Bacterial small subunit ribosomal RNA", at positions 30 to 523 of the family's 1533-position model. The record is from RNAcentral.
AUUGAACGCUGGCGGCAGGCUUAACACAUGCAAGUCGAGCGGGGGAAGGUAGCUUGCUACCGGACCUAGCGGCGGACGGGUGAGUAAUGCUUAGGAAUCUGCCUAUGAGUGGGGGACGACAUCUCGAAAGGGAUGCUAAUACCGCAUACGUCCUACGGGAGAAAGCAGGGGAUCUUCGGACACUGCGCUAAUACAUGAGCCUAAGUCGGAUUAGCUAGUUGGUGGGGAAAAGGCCUACCAAGGCGACGAUGUGUAGCGGGUCUGAGAGGAUGAUCCGCCACACGGGGACUGAGACACGGCCCAGACUCCUACGGGAGGCAGCAGUGGGGAAUAUUGGACAAUGGGGGGAACCCUGAUCCAGCCAUGCCGCGUGUGUGAAGAAGGCCUUAUGGUUGUAAAGCACUUUAAGCGAGGAGGAGGCUACUCUAGUUAAUACCUAGGGAGAGUGGACGUUACUCGCAGAAUAAGCACCGGCUAACUCUGUGCCAGCCGCCGCCGUAA